Molecule: ribosomal RNA, 473 nt
Filed under: uncultured Comamonas sp.
Lineage: Bacteria; Pseudomonadati; Pseudomonadota; Betaproteobacteria; Burkholderiales; Comamonadaceae
Description: bacterial SSU rRNA
Rfam family: Bacterial small subunit ribosomal RNA
Source: RNAcentral
UACAAAGGAAUUGACGGGACCGCACAAGCGGUGGAUGAUGUGGUUAAUUCGAUGCAACGCGAAAACCUUACCACCUUUGACAUGUACGGAAUCCUCUAGAGAUAGAGGAGUGCUCGAAAGAGAGCCGUAACACAGGUGCUGCAUGGCUGUCGUCAGCUCGUGUCGUGAGAUGUUGGGUUAAGUCCCGCAACGAGCGCAACCCUUGUCAUUAGUUGCUACGAAAGGGCACUCUAAUGAGACUGCCGGUGACAAACCGGAGGAAGGUGGGGAUGACGUCAAGUCCUCAUGGCCCUUAUAGGUGGGGCUACACACGUCAUACAAUGGCUGGUACAAAGGGUUGCCAACCCGCGAGGGGGAGCCAAUCCCAUAAAGCCAGUCGUAGUCCGGAUCGCAGUCUGCAACUCGACUGCGUGAAGUCGGAAUCGCUAGUAAUCGUGGAUCAGCAUGUCACGGUGAAUACGUUCCCGGGUCUU